This 253-nucleotide ribosomal RNA is filed under the name uncultured bacterium. Its description in RNAcentral is "partial 16S ribosomal RNA". It matches the Rfam family "Bacterial small subunit ribosomal RNA", at positions 524 to 776 of the family's 1533-position model. The record is from RNAcentral.
UACGUAGGGUGCGAGCGUUGUCCGGAAUUAUUGGGCGUAAAGAGCUCGUAGGCGGUUUGUCACGUCUGCUGUGAAAUCCCGAGGCUCAACCUCGGGCCUGCAGUGGGUACGGGCAGACUGGAGUGCGGUAGGGGAGAAUGGAAUUCCUGGUGUAGCGGUGAAAUGCGCAGAUAUCAGGAGGAACACCGGUGGCGAAGGCGGGUCUCUGGGCCGCAACUGACACUGAGGGACGAAAGCUAGGGGAGCGAAUGGG